RNAcentral lists this transfer RNA (56 nucleotides) under uncultured eukaryote. RNAcentral describes it as "partial tRNA". The record is from RNAcentral.
UUGUUAGUCUAGCGGCAUGAUUCUUGUUUUGGGAACAAGAGGUCCCGGGUUCGAAU